This 983-nucleotide ribosomal RNA is filed under the name human gut metagenome. RNAcentral describes it as "bacterial LSU rRNA". It matches the Rfam family "Bacterial large subunit ribosomal RNA", at positions 1945 to 2925 of the family's 2925-position model. The record is from RNAcentral.
ACGGUCCUAAGGUAGCGAAAUUCCUUGUCAGGUAAGUUCUGACCCGCACGAAAGGCGUAACGAUUUGGGCGCUGUCUCAGCUGUAGACUCGGUGAAGUCUUAGUACCUGUGAAGAUGCAGGUUACCCGCGACUAGACGGAAAGACCCCAUGGAGCUUUACUGUAGCUUGAUAUUGGACUUUGAUGCAAGAUGUACAGGAUAGGUAGGAGACUGAGAGACAUGCACGCCAGUGUGUGAGGAGUCAAUGUUGGGAUACUACUCUUCUUGUAUUGGAGUUCUAACCGGAUGCCAUGGAACUGGCAACGGGACAGUGUCAGGUGGGCAGUUUGACUGGGGCGGUCGCCUCCCAAAGAGUAACGGAGGCGCCCAAAGAUACCCUCAGCUUGGAUGGAAAUCAAGCGCAGAGUGCAAAGGCAUAAGGGUGUUUGACUGCGAGACCUACAAGUCGAGCAGGGACGAAAGUCGGGCUUAGUGAUCCGGCGGUGCUGAAUGGAAAGGCCGUCGCUCAACGGAUAAAAGCUACCCUGGGGAUAACAGGCUGAUCUCCCCCAAGAGUUCACAUCGACGGGGAGGUUUGGCACCUCGAUGUCGGCUCAUCGCAUCCUGGGGCUGAAGUAGGUCCCAAGGGUUGGGCUGUUCGCCCAUUAAAGCGGUACGCGAGCUGGGUUCAGAACGUCGUGAGACAGUUCGGUCCCUAUCUGUCGUGGGCGCAGGAUAUUUGAUGGGAGCUGUCCCUAGUACGAGAGGACCGGGACGGACGUACCUCUGGCGCACCAGUUGUUCCGCCAGGAGCAUAGCUGGGCAACUACGUACGGAUCGGAUAAACGCUGAAAGCAUCUAAGCGUGAAGCCGACCCAAAGAUAAGAUAUCCCACUGAUUUGAUCAGGUAAGACCCCUUGAAGACUACAAGGUCGAUAGGCACGAUGUGUAAGUGGAGCGAUCCAUUCAGCAAGCGUGUACUAAUAGGUCGAGGGCUUGACCAC